This 543-nucleotide ribosomal RNA is filed under the name uncultured bacterium. RNAcentral describes it as "bacterial SSU rRNA". It matches the Rfam family "Bacterial small subunit ribosomal RNA", at positions 337 to 872 of the family's 1533-position model. The record is from RNAcentral.
UCCUACGGGAGGCAGCAGUGGGGAAUUUUUCGCAAUGGGGGCAACCCUGACGAAGCAAUGCCGCGUGGAUGAAGAAGGCCUUCGGGUUGUAAAGUCCUUUCGUGGGGGACGAAAAGGCGGGUCCUAAUACGAUCUGCUGUUGACGUGAAUCCAAGAAGAAGCACCGGCUAACUCCGUGCCAGCAGCCGCGGUAAUACGGGGGGUGCAAGCGUUAAUCGGAAUCACUGGGCGUAAAGGGUGCGUAGGCGGUACGUUAGGUCUGUCGUGAAAUCCCCGGGCUCAACCUGGGAAUGGCGGUAGAAACCGGCGCACUAGAGUAUGGGAGAGGGUGGUGGAAUUCCAGGUGUAGCGGUGAAAUGCGUAGAGAUCUGGAGGAACAUCAGUGGCGAAGGCGGCCACCUGGCCCAAUACUGACGCUGAGGCACGAAAGCGUGGGGAGCAAACGGGAUUAGAUACCCUGGUAGUCCACGCCCUAAACGAUGAAUACUAGAUGUUUGGUACCUAGCGUACUGAGUGUCGUAGCUAACGCGAUAAGUAUUCCGC